GUUUAACUUCCAAUGGACAGAACAGUAAACUGAGGUGGAGGCAGGGAGAGGAAGCACAUGCUCACACCGCCACUCUCUCUAGAUUGUACUCUAUUGCUGUCCAAGAUGUAGCUGGAUGGAGGAAGAUGACUGUGCGAUAGCAGCUGAUGAAGUAGCAAAUUGGACCAGCUGAAGAAAAAAUGACAUGGGCCGGAAGUCAUAUGGAUCAGCUGGGAAUCCUAGGAAAGAGAAAGCUACAGAAGUCAUCUCAUUUCCAGCUCUGGUUUACUGUGUUCGGUGAAGUACAUAAUUACAUGAACUAUUGUCAAGCCAUUUUCCCCAUCCAAAUGGACUUUUGAACCUAAUAUAGGUUCUUUUACUCAUCCUUCUAAAACAUCUUCUCAUUGACUAAUUUAUCAUUUAUUACAACCUGGUUAUUGAGUCACUCCUUAGCCAGGAUGAGGGUGAGAAGGACUUUUAUACUUUGUGUAGAGAGAUAUCUUCAGUAUCAUCUCUUAUUAAUGGAGGCAUAAGCCCUCAGAGCAAUGUCUAGGCAUAUGCAAUUCAAUAAAGAAGCUCAAUAAUA
Molecule: long non-coding RNA, 565 nt
Organism: Sarcophilus harrisii (Tasmanian devil)
Lineage: Eukaryota; Metazoa; Chordata; Mammalia; Dasyuromorphia; Dasyuridae
Exons: 2
Source: RefSeq, a predicted model, not a curated record